GAUGAACGCUGGCGGCGUGCCUAAUACAUGCAAGUCGAGCGAACAGACGAGGAGCUUGCUCCUCUGACGUUAGCGGCGGACGGGUGAGUAACACGUGGAGAACCUACCUAUAAGACUGGGAUAACUUCGGGAAACCGGAGCUAAUACCGGAUAAUAUAUUGAACCGCAUGGUUCAAUAGUGAAAGACGGUUUUGCUGUCGCUUAUAGAUGGAUCCGCGCCGCAUUAGCUAGUUGGUAAGGUAACGGCUUACCAAGGCAACGAUGCGUAGCCGACCUGAGAGGGUGAUCGGCCACACUGGAACUGAGACACGGUCCAGACUCCUACGGGAGGCAGCAGUAGGGAAUCUUCCGCAAUGGGCGAAAGCCUGACGGAGCAACGCCGCGUGAGUGAUGAAGGUCUUCGGAUCGUAAAACUCUGUUAUUAGGGAAGAACAAAUGUGUAAGUAACUAUGCACGUCUUGACGGUACCUAAUCAGAAAGCCACGGCUAACUACGUG
This 497-nucleotide ribosomal RNA is filed under the name uncultured bacterium. Its description in RNAcentral is "partial 16S ribosomal RNA". It matches the Rfam family "Bacterial small subunit ribosomal RNA", at positions 28 to 507 of the family's 1533-position model. The record is from RNAcentral.